UACGUAGGGGGCAAGCGUUGUCCGGAUUUAUUGGGCGUAAAGAGCGUGUAGGCGGCCAUUCAGGUCAGCUGUGAAAACUCGAGGCUCAACCUCGAGACGUCGGUUGAAACCGUUUGGCUAGAGUCCGGAAGAGGAGAGUGGAAUUCCCGGUGUAGCGGUGAAAUGCGCAGAUAUCGGGAAGAACACCCGUGGCGAAGGCGGCUCUCUGGGACGGUACUGACGCUGAGACGCGAAAAGCGUGGGGGAGCGAACAGGG
RNAcentral lists this ribosomal RNA (256 nucleotides) under uncultured bacterium. RNAcentral's name for it is "partial 16S ribosomal RNA". It matches the Rfam family "Bacterial small subunit ribosomal RNA", at positions 524 to 777 of the family's 1533-position model. The record is from RNAcentral.